RNAcentral lists this ribosomal RNA (477 nucleotides) under uncultured anaerobic ammonium-oxidizing bacterium. RNAcentral describes it as "bacterial SSU rRNA". It matches the Rfam family "Bacterial small subunit ribosomal RNA", at positions 365 to 832 of the family's 1533-position model. The record is from RNAcentral.
UUCGCAAUGCCCGAAAGGGUGACGAAGCGACGCCGCGUGCGGGAAGAAGGCCUUCGGGUUGUAAACCGCUGUCGGGAGUUAAGAAAUGCAAGGGUGUUAACAGCAUCCUUGCUUGACUAAGGCUCCGGAGGAAGCCACGGCUAACUCUGUGCCAGCAGCCGCGGUAAUACAGAGGCGGCAAGCGUUGUUCGGAAUUAUUGGGCGUAAAGAGCACGUAGGCGGCUAUGUAAGUCGGUUGUGAAAGCCUUCUGCUUAACGGAAGAACAGCAUCCGAUACUGCAUGGCUCGAGUGCGGGAGGGGAGAGUGGAACUUCUGGUGGAGCGGUGAAAUGCGUAGAUAUCAGAAGGAACGCCGGCGGCGAAGGCGACUCUCUGGUCCGUAACUGACGCUGAGUGUGCGAAAGCUAGGGGAGCAAACGGGAUUAGAUACCCCGGUAGUCCUAGCCGUAAACGAUGGGCACUAAGUAGAGGGGUUUU